UACGGGGGGGGUAAGCGUUGUUCGGAAUUACUGGGCGUAAAGGGCUCGUAGGCGGCCAACUAAGUCAGACGUGAAAUCCCUCAGCUUAACUGGGGAACUGCGUCUGAUACUGGAUGGCUUGGAUUCGGGAGAGGAAUGCGGAAUUCCAGGUGUAGCGGUGAAAUGCUUAGAUAUCGUCAAGAACACCUAUUGCGAAGGCAGCUAACUAAGCUUUAACUGACGCUGAGGCACGAAAGUGUGGGGAUCUAACAGG
This 253-nucleotide ribosomal RNA is filed under the name uncultured bacterium. RNAcentral describes it as "partial 16S ribosomal RNA". It matches the Rfam family "Bacterial small subunit ribosomal RNA", at positions 524 to 776 of the family's 1533-position model. The record is from RNAcentral.